UAUGUGGUCAUGCAGGAUGGAUUUUUAUGAAUCUACUCACCUUUGCAGGCCCAGAAAUAUUUUUCCAAGAUGGAAGACAGUGUUCAUUCUUGAAUUCCAUCUGUGUGGAACUAUUAGCUAAGCAGGCCAGAGCAUGGAACUUCGUGCAUGUAAGACGGAUGAAAAUAGCUGAGGGCAAUUAUUGCUUGGGGCUGCAAUUUCUAUCAAGCUGUCUACUUAGAGUCUCAGGAGGAAGCAGGCAGAAUCUCAAAGCCAGAAGUUUAAUCAAGUUGCCUGCAUGCUUAGCAAAUCGUCUGUAA
Molecule: long non-coding RNA, 299 nt
Filed under: Rhinopithecus bieti (black snub-nosed monkey)
Lineage: Eukaryota; Metazoa; Chordata; Mammalia; Primates; Cercopithecidae
Description: lncRNA (ENSRBIG00000045305.1)
Source: RNAcentral